GAACGUGAAACAACAAACAUCGUCAGCAGCAGCACUCGUUUUGGGAGUUGGUGGCGGAGUUGUCGCUCUAACUGUCAUUGUUGUUGUUGGAUUGCUGUUGCUUCGUAGAAGAAAAAACAAGUUAAGGACUAAAAGCAAAUCUCCUGCAAAAGAACCCGAGAACUUAUCCGCUGUGUACGCAACGGUAAACAAAAGGAGAGCUUUCUGUGUAGAGAAUGCCAAUGACGAUACGGACGAUACGGACAAUGUUCACUCUGUAACAAUAGAAAACUCCACUUACCAAAAUCCAUCACCGAAGAGCUCUCGCAAGGAAAAUACGCCUGUUUUAAUAGACAACCUUACUAUUGAAAAUACCGUACGGUCUCGUGAAACCUUACGAAGUUUCACAAACGAAGCUUAACAUGCACAGAAAUAGAUAUAAAGGAAUCUAUCCGUAUGAUGAUACGCGUGUUGUAGUACGUGGAGGAGACACUGACUAUAUCAAUGCAAGCUAUAUAGACG
Mya arenaria is the source of this 501-nucleotide long non-coding RNA. RefSeq lists it as uncharacterized. The transcript has 5 exons. The record is from RefSeq and is a predicted model, not a curated record. Lineage: Eukaryota; Metazoa; Mollusca; Bivalvia; Myida; Myidae.